GGCCCAUUCGACUAGGGGUCUAGGUCACCUGCCUCUCACGCAGGCAACAGCGGUUCGAAUCCGCUAUGGGCUA
RNAcentral lists this transfer RNA (73 nucleotides) under Bacteroidales bacterium. Its description in RNAcentral is "tRNA-Glu". It matches the Rfam family "tRNA". From Rfam's summary of the family: Transfer RNA (tRNA) molecules are approximately 80 nucleotides in length. Their secondary structure includes four short double-helical elements and three loops (D, anti-codon, and T loops). Lineage: Bacteria; Pseudomonadati; Bacteroidota; Bacteroidia; Bacteroidales. The record is from RNAcentral. RNAcentral also lists the same sequence under 1 other name.